Transfer RNA from Camelus ferus (Wild Bactrian camel), 73 nucleotides. It matches the Rfam family "tRNA". Rfam says of the family: Transfer RNA (tRNA) molecules are approximately 80 nucleotides in length. Lineage: Eukaryota; Metazoa; Chordata; Mammalia; Artiodactyla; Camelidae. The record is from Rfam.
GAGGGUAUAGCUCAAGUAGUAGAGCGCAUGCCUAGCAUGUACAAGGCCCUGGGUUCAAUCCCCAGUACCUCCU